RNAcentral lists this long non-coding RNA (242 nucleotides) under Daucus carota (carrot). RNAcentral describes it as "long non-coding RNA (DCAR_LNC007715)". The record is from RNAcentral. Lineage: Eukaryota; Viridiplantae; Streptophyta; Magnoliopsida; Apiales; Apiaceae.
UUUCAAAAUAUAAUACAUAAUUUUUGAGGGGUCACAGUGGGUAAAGUAGCUGUUACAAACGGAUAUACACACAGUUACCGCUCAAACAGUUAAAGUUAACGGUAGAUUUGAACGGAAUAAUGACUAGGGGUUACAACUUGCACGGGAAUGUUAAGUUUAGGGUGCAUAUUGACACAUUUUAAAGUUUAGGUACUAAACUGCGAUUUGGAGCAAACUUAGGGGUUACAAAGUGUCAUUAACUC